Molecule: ribosomal RNA, 478 nt
Filed under: Trichomacronema paniae
Lineage: Eukaryota; Metazoa; Arthropoda; Insecta; Trichoptera; Hydropsychidae
Description: partial large subunit ribosomal RNA
Source: RNAcentral
AUCAGGGGUAAACCUGUGGAACUCGAACGAACGAACGGGGAGAUUCAACGUAUUUCCGUUUACGGGUCCGCGCGUACGGUGUCGGCGGUCGUGGCGUCGCUCACGCGGCGUCUACGCGCCGUCGUCUCCGGACACGUGGAAGGGCCCGCGGAGUGCGUGCACUUCUCCCUCAGUAAAACACCGCGACCCGUUCGUUUUUGUGUCGAUCGAACGCGCCGUGCGGCCGUCCCGCAUCUCGUUUUUCGACGGUGCGGAGCCGCGGCGUCGCGAUCGACGACGGACGGUAGAGAACGAGGUUCGCGUUCGCCCCCCCAAACGAGAGGGCGUCCGUGUCGCGGGCCGAACGGGCCCCGUGCGCGCCUCGGCGUUCACGCGUCGUGGGUCGCGCGCGUAGGUCUGCCCGUUCGCGGCGUUGCGACGUCUCGGACGGAACGCGUCCCGGUCGGCGGUGGUUUUGUUUCGGGCACUCACAGGACCC